Molecule: ribosomal RNA, 430 nt
Filed under: bacterium
Lineage: Bacteria
Description: partial 16S ribosomal RNA
Rfam family: Bacterial small subunit ribosomal RNA
Source: RNAcentral
UGGGGAAUAUUGGACAAUGGGCGGAAGCCUGAUCCAGCCAUGCCGCGUGUGUGAAGAAGGCCUUUCGGUUGUAAAGCACUUUAAGCGAGGAGGUGGCUACUUGGAUUAAUACUCUAGGAUAGUGGACGUUACUCGCAGAAUAAGCACCGGCUAACUCUGUGCCAGCAGCCGCGGUAAUACAGAGGGUGCGAGCGUUAAUCGGAUUUACUGGGCGUAAAGCGUGCGUAGGCGGCUUCUUAAGUCGGAUGUGAAAUCCCUGAGCUUAACUUAGGAAUUGCAUUCGAUACUGGGAAGCUAGAGUAUGGGAGAGGAUGGUAGAAUUCCAGGUGUAGCGGUGAAAUGCGUAGAGAUCUGGAGGAAUACCGAUGGCGAAGGCAGCCAUCUGGCCUAAUACUGACGCUGAGGUACGAAAGCAUGGGGAGCAAACAGG